RNAcentral lists this ribosomal RNA (253 nucleotides) under uncultured bacterium. Its description in RNAcentral is "partial 16S ribosomal RNA". It matches the Rfam family "Bacterial small subunit ribosomal RNA", at positions 524 to 776 of the family's 1533-position model. The record is from RNAcentral.
UACGGGGGGGGCAAGCGUUGUUCGGAAUUACUGGGCGUAAAGAGCGUGUAGGCGGCCCGGUAAGUCCGCUGUGAAAGUCGGGGGCUCAACCCUCGAAUGCCGGUGGAUACUGUCGGGCUAGAGUGCGGAAGAGGCGAGUGGAAUUCCUGGUGUAGCGGUGAAAUGCGCAGAUAUCAGGAGGAACACCAAUUGCGAAGGCAGCUCGCUGGGACGUAACUGACGCUGAGACGCGAAAGCGUGGGGAGCAAACAGG